Molecule: transfer RNA, 72 nt
Filed under: Camelus bactrianus (Bactrian camel)
Lineage: Eukaryota; Metazoa; Chordata; Mammalia; Artiodactyla; Camelidae
Also listed under: 2 other names
Rfam family: tRNA
About the family: Transfer RNA (tRNA) molecules are approximately 80 nucleotides in length. Their secondary structure includes four short double-helical elements and three loops (D, anti-codon, and T loops). Further hydrogen bonds mediate the characteristic L-shaped molecular structure. tRNAs have two regions of fundamental functional importance: the anti-codon, which is responsible for specific mRNA codon recognition, and the 3' end, to which the tRNAs corresponding amino acid is attached (by aminoacyl-tRNA synthetases). tRNAs cope with the degeneracy of the genetic code in two manners: having more than one tRNA (with a specific anti-codon) for a particular amino acid; and 'wobble' base-pairing, i.e. permitting non-standard base-pairing at the 3rd anti-codon position.
Source: Rfam by way of RNAcentral
GGAGGUAUAGCUCAGUGGUAGAGUAUAUGCCUAGCAUGCACAAAGUCCUGGGUUCAAUCCCCAGGAUCUCCA